This 403-nucleotide unclassified non-coding RNA is filed under the name soil metagenome. Its description in RNAcentral is "partial contains 5.8S ribosomal RNA, internal transcribed spacer 2, and large subunit ribosomal RNA". The stretch from base 1 to 122 matches the Rfam family "5.8S ribosomal RNA", at positions 35 to 154 of the family's 154-position model. The record is from RNAcentral.
GAUGAAGAACGCAGCAAAAUGCGAUACUUGGUGUGAAUUGCAGAAUCCCGUGAACCAUCGAGUUUUUGAACGCAAGUUGCGCCCGAAGCCUUUUGGCCGAGGGCACGUCUGCCUGGGCGUCACGCAUCGCGUCGCCCCCCACAAUUCUCCGUAAAGGGAACAUGUGUUUUGGGGGCGGAUAUUGGUCUCCCGUGCUCAUGGCGUGGUUGGCCGAAAUAGGAGUCCUUUCGAUGGACGCACGAACUAGUGGUGGUCGUAAAAACCCUCGUCUUUUGUUUCGUGCUGUUGGUCGCAAGGUAAACUCUUUAAAAACCCCAAUGUGUCGUCUCUUGACGACGCUUCGACCGCGACCCCAGGUCAGGCGGGACUACCCGCUGAGUUUAAGCAUAUCAAUAACGGAGGA